Molecule: ribosomal RNA, 618 nt
Filed under: uncultured Basidiomycota
Lineage: Eukaryota; Fungi; Basidiomycota
Description: eukaryotic LSU rRNA
Rfam family: 5.8S ribosomal RNA (bases 70-223)
Source: RNAcentral
GCGUUUUUCACACAUAAACACCCUUCUGGUUUAGAAUGUCAUUCAUUUGCGAUCACACGCAAUCAAUACAACUUUCAACAACGGAUCUCUUGGCUCUCGCAUCGAUGAAGAACGCAGCGAAAUGCGAUACGUAAUGUGAAUUGCAGAAUUCAGUGAAUCAUCGAAUCCUUGAACGCAUCUUGCGCCCCUUGGUAUUCCGAGGGGCACACCCGUUUGAGUGUCGUGAAAUUCUCAAACCUUCUUGGUUUCUCGAUCAAGAUGGCUUUGGACUUUGGAGGCAUUUUGCUGGCUUUGCGAAAAGCCAGCUCCUCUUAAAUACAUUAGUGGGGUCCCCUUUGCCGAUCCCCAGGCGUGAUAAGAUGUUUCUACGUCUCGGGAUUUGCUCUGUUCCUUGGGAACCCGCUUAUAACCGUCCCACGGGAGACAUCGUUCGAGCAUGCUCGACCCACGAACCUUGACCUCAAAUCGGGUGAGACUACCCGCUGAACUUAAGCAUAUCAAUAAGCGGAGGAAAAGAAACUAACAAGGAUUCCCCUAGUAACUGCGAGUGAAGCGGGAAAAGCUCAAAUUUAAAAUCUGGUGGCCUUUGGUCAUGCCGAGUUGUAAUUUAGAGAAGCG